UGGGGGAUAUUGCACAAUGGGCGAAAGCCUGAUGCAGCGACGCCGCGUGGGGGAUGAAGGCCUUCGGGUUGUAAACUUCUUUUGCUCUGAACAAGGCAUGCUUUUGGGGUGUGUUGAGUGUAGGGGUUGAUUAGCGCCGGCUAACUACGUGCCAGCAGCCGCGGUAAUACGUAGGGCGCGAGCGUUGUCCGGAAUUAUUGGGCGUAAAGGGCUUGUAGGUGGCUGGUUGCGUCUGUCGUGAAAGCUCAUGGCUUAACUGUGGGUUUGCGGUGGGUACGGGCUGGCUUGAGUGCAGUAGGGGAGGCUGGAAUUCCUGGUGUAGCGGUGGAAUGCGCAGAUAUCAGGAGGAAUACCGGUGGCGAAGGCGGGUCUCUGGGCUGUUACUGACGCUGAGGAGCGAAAGCGUGGGGAGCGAACAGG
Molecule: ribosomal RNA, 420 nt
Filed under: Fusobacteriota bacterium
Lineage: Bacteria; Fusobacteriati; Fusobacteriota
Description: Fusobacteria bacterium partial 16S ribosomal RNA
Rfam family: Bacterial small subunit ribosomal RNA
Source: RNAcentral